GAGUUUGAUCGUGGCUCAGAUUGAACGCUGGCGGCAGGCCUAACACAUGCAAGUCGAGCGGCAGCGCGGGGCAACCUGGCGGCGAGCGGCGGACGGGUGAGUAACGCGUAGGAAUCUACCUGGUAGUGGGGGAUAGCCCGGGGAAACUCGGAUUAAUACCGCAUACGCCUUAGGGGGGAAAGCAGGGGAACUUCGGUCCUUGUGCUAUCAGAAGAGCCUGCGUUGGAUUAGCUAGUUGGUAGGGUAAAGGCCUACCAAGGCGACGAUCCAUAGCUGGUCUGAGAGGAUGAUCAGCCACACUGGGACUGAGACACGGCCCAGACUCCUACGGGAGGCAGCAGUGGGGAAUAUUGGACAAUGGGGGCAACCCUGAUCCAGCCAUGCCGCGUGUGUGAAGAAGGCCUU
RNAcentral lists this ribosomal RNA (405 nucleotides) under uncultured Gammaproteobacteria bacterium. RNAcentral's name for it is "bacterial SSU rRNA". It matches the Rfam family "Bacterial small subunit ribosomal RNA", at positions 9 to 418 of the family's 1533-position model. The record is from RNAcentral. Lineage: Bacteria; Pseudomonadati; Pseudomonadota; Gammaproteobacteria.